This 468-nucleotide ribosomal RNA is filed under the name uncultured bacterium. RNAcentral describes it as "partial 16S ribosomal RNA". It matches the Rfam family "Bacterial small subunit ribosomal RNA", at positions 28 to 507 of the family's 1533-position model. The record is from RNAcentral.
GACGAACGCUGGCGGCGUGCUUAACACAUGCAAGUCGAACGGAAAGGCCCUGCUUUUGUGGGGUGCUCGAGUGGCGAACGGGUGAGUAACACGUGAGUAACCUGCCCUUGACUUUGGGAUAACUUCAGGAAACUGGGGCUAAUACCGGAUAGGAGCUCCUGCCGCAUGGUGGGGGUUGGAAAGUUUCGGCGGCUGGGGAUGGACUCGCGGCUUAUCAGCUUGUUGGUGGGGUAGUGGCUUACCAAGGCUUUGACGGGUAGCCGGCCUGAGAGGGUGACCGGCCACAUUGGGACUGAGAUACGGCCCAGACUCCUACGGGAGGCAGCAGUGGGGAAUAUUGCACAAUGGGCGGAAGCCUGAUGCAGCAACGCCGCGUGCGGGAUGACGGCCUUCGGGUUGUAAACCGCUUUCGCCUGUGACGAAGCGUGAGUGACGGUAAUGGGUAAAGAAGCACCGGCUAACUACGUG